CAUUUCAACCCCUCUUUUUCCAUAGCCGCCACUCCUUGAGCCCUAGAUCUCACCACUUCAUCUUCGCCGCAUCAGUGACAAAAUCUCUUCAAUCAUCUUCCUAUGUUAACAACAUCGACUUCCUCCUCCAACUUUCAUCACCAGCGAUGUUGUUACCGGCCAACAUAAUCAUCGUCCGUGUUCUCCUCGCUCUGCUUCAACUUCUUUCUUCAACUCCUACAGCUCAGUCUCUAGUUUCUUUUCAUCACCAACCUCAAGGCUUUGCAGUUGGGAAGAAAUCCUACUUAAUGUGAAUUGUUCACAAAGACGCACUUUGCUAUCAAAACUAACCAAUUUGUGGAUAUUAGGUCAACUGAAGUUUCUGAACAUUACAUGAGGAUCAAGGCAUCCAGGAGUUCUAUUGUCGA
Molecule: long non-coding RNA, 407 nt
Organism: Neltuma alba
Lineage: Eukaryota; Viridiplantae; Streptophyta; Magnoliopsida; Fabales; Fabaceae
Exons: 3
Source: RefSeq, a predicted model, not a curated record